This 449-nucleotide ribosomal RNA is filed under the name uncultured bacterium. RNAcentral's name for it is "bacterial SSU rRNA". It matches the Rfam family "Bacterial small subunit ribosomal RNA", at positions 328 to 794 of the family's 1533-position model. The record is from RNAcentral.
GUUCCAGACUCCUACGGGAGGCAGCAGUGGGGAAUAUUGGGCAAUGGGGGAAACCCUGACCCAGCGACGCCGCGUGAGGGAAGAAGGUUUUCGGAUUGUAAACCUCUGUCCUUGGUGACGAUAAUGACGGUAGCCAAGGAGGAAGCCACGGCUAACUACGUGCCAGCAGCCGCGGUAAUACGUAGGGGGCAAGCGUUAUCCGGAUUUACUGGGUGUAAAGGGAGCGUAGACGGAAAGGCAAGUCAGAUGUGAAAACUAUGGGCUCAACCCAUAGCCUGCAUUUGAAACUGUAUUUCUUGAGUGCUGGAGAGGCAAUCGGAAUUCCGUGUGUAGCGGUGAAAUGCGUAGAUAUACGGAGGAACACCAGUGGCGAAGGCGGAUUGCUGGACAGUAACUGACGCUGAGGCGCGAAAGCGUGGGGAGCAAACAGGAUUAGAUACCCCAGUACC